CCUACGGGAGGCUGCAGUGGGGAAUAUUGGACAAUGGGGGGAACCCUGAUCCAGCCAUGCCGCGUGUGUGAAGAAGGCCCUCGGGUUGUAAAGCACUUUCAGUGAGGAAGAACGCCUGGUGGUUAAUACCCAUCAGGAAAGACAUCACUCACAGAAGAAGCUCCGGCUAACUCCGUGCCAGCAGCCGCGGUAAUACGGAGGGUGCGAGCGUUAAUCGGAAUUACUGGGCGUAAAGCGCGCGUAGGUGGCUUGAUAAGCCGGUUGUGAAAGCCCCGGGCUCAACCUGGGAACGGCAUCCGGAACUGUCAAGCUAGAGUGCAGGAGAGGAAGGUAGAAUUCCCGGUGUAGCGGUGAAAUGCGUAGAGAUCGGGAGGAAUACCAGUGGCGAAGGCGGCCUUCUGGACUGACACUGACACUGAGGUGCGAAAGCGUGGGUAGCAAACAGGAUUAGAUACCCUUGUAGUC
Molecule: ribosomal RNA, 465 nt
Filed under: Vreelandella stevensii
Lineage: Bacteria; Pseudomonadati; Pseudomonadota; Gammaproteobacteria; Oceanospirillales; Halomonadaceae
Description: partial 16S ribosomal RNA
Rfam family: Bacterial small subunit ribosomal RNA
Source: RNAcentral